GUCACCUCAUGUGACCACGACUUCUGUACUGGUGUGGCACAGCAGCAUUCACAUGUAAAAUUGGGAGCAGCCUGCACUUAACUACUAGAUGACAGUAUGGGUUAUACAUGUGAGACCUCAUAUUGGAGUUUCUCCCCGGCAUGCAGCCAGAGUAACAGUCCUGGGUCUGCUGCUCUUCUACCUGUAUCCUCACCAGCUGUUACAGAGCUGGAAGUAAUCUGCUGCAAGAAUGCCCUGGUAGCAGACACUUAUUUGGCCCUGUAUGGAUUCACUAUAUGAAGCUGGAGAGUUGGAUUUAGAGCAGAUCUCAUUGGGUCUCAGAAGUUAAAAUUUUUUCUUUAAUAAAAUGUUCUUGAAGAGAUGGUUUAAGAAUGAUGUCUUAGAAGUGGAAGUUGCACCUUUCAAUAGUUUGAAUCAUUACAGGAUUGCAAUGGUAUUGAAUGGGUAACUGUAAUUAUUGACUGUAUCCAGUUCUCCAUAUGCAAAUCACAACCUCAAAAUGUUCAGUGGCAGAUGGCAUACAGAGUAUAUAACUUCAUUGCAAGGCUGUGUUUUAUUGGAUGUGUUAAAUCCUACCUUUGAAGUUUGAAAGAAUAAACGGAGAUGUCAUUGAAAUAACAUUGUUAUCAAACCUAAUAUAACCUGAUGUAAAGCUAAUCUGGAUGUGAGUUGCAUCUUUUGAAACAAGAGUGAGACAAGGAAUGUUAGUUUUAUAUCACCCUUGUUACAAAUCUUGAAAGAACAGGCAAAAAAGCAUAACAUUCAUUCUUUUAAUACAAUGUAUAGACUAUAAUGAUAACAAAAUAGCAUAGCAUGUUCAUUUUUCAUAAGAGCUGUUAUAAAUAAGAACAGGAAAGAAAAUAAUAUCCAUCUAUUUUGCUUGGCCUAAAGCAUAACAGCUCUGACUAGAAAAUUUCUGGAUUAAAAAAUUAAAAAAGGCAAGUUUCAAAAUUAGAACCACCUUUAUGAUUAUCACUGACAUGGACAUUAGUGAAACAACAGUAUUUUUUAAAAUUAGUGCUUACUCACAGAAUAAAAAUUCAUGUUUGUUUUGUUGUUGUUGUCGUUGUUGGUUGGUUGGUUUUCUUUUGGUUUCUUUUUUUUUUUUUCCCUGAUGAAUCCCACAAAGGACACAAUCUCCUUCAUAAAAUGCUCCAUUGCUCCAUUUAAUGGAUGAAUGAAUGAAAGAUGAAAGUGAGGAAAGAACAAAAAGC
This is a long non-coding RNA of Columba livia (rock pigeon), 1214 nucleotides long. RefSeq lists it as uncharacterized. Lineage: Eukaryota; Metazoa; Chordata; Aves; Columbiformes; Columbidae. The transcript is spliced from 3 exons. The record is from RefSeq and is a predicted model, not a curated record.